Molecule: ribosomal RNA, 496 nt
Filed under: uncultured bacterium
Lineage: Bacteria
Description: partial 16S ribosomal RNA
Rfam family: Bacterial small subunit ribosomal RNA
Source: RNAcentral
AGUGGGCGCUGGCGGUAGGCCUAACACAUGCAAGUCGAGGGGUAGAGGUUGCUUGCAACCUUGAGACCGGCGCACGGGUGCGUAACGCGUAUGCAACCUACCUUUUACAGAGGGAUAGCCCAGAGAAAUUUGGAUUAAUACCUCAUAGUAUAUAACCUUCGCAUGUUGGUUAUAUUAAAGUUCCAAUGGUAAAAGAUGGGCAUGCGUCCUAUUAGCUAGAUGGUAAGGUAACGGCUUACCAUGGCAACGAUAGGUAGGGGUCCUGAGAGGGAGAUCCCCCACACUGGUACUGAGACACGGACCAGACUCCUACGGGAGGCAGCAGUGAGGAAUAUUGGACAAUGGGCGCAAGCCUGAUCCAGCCAUGCCGCGUGCAGGAAGAAGCAUCUAUGGUGUGUAAACUGCUUUUGUACAGGAAGAAACACCCCGACGUGUCGGGGCUUGACGGUACUGUAAGAAUAAGGAUCGGCUAACUCCGUGCCAGCCGCCGCAGUAA